CCUACGGGUGGCAGCAGUGGGGGAUAUUGGACAAUGGGGGAAACCCUGAUCCAGCGACGCCGCGUGAGUGAAGAAGUAUUUCGGUAUGUAAAGCUCUAUCAGCAGGGAAGAAAGAAAUGACGGUACCUGAGUAAGAAGCCCCGGCUAACUACGUGCCAGCAGCCGCGGUAAUACGUAGGGGGCAAGCGUUAUCCGGAAUUACUGGGUGUAAAGGGAGCGUAGACGGUAAUGCAAGUCUGGAGUGAAAGGUGGGGGCCCACCCCCGGGACUGCUCUGGAAACUGUGUAACUGGAGUGCAGGAGAGGCAGGCGGAAUGCCUAGUGUAGCGGUGAAAUGCGUAGAGAUUAGGAGGAACACCAGUGGCGAAGGCGGCCUGCUGGACUGUAACUGACGUUGAGGCUCGAAAGCGUGGGGAGCAAACAGGAUUAGAUACCCGAGUAGUC
This 443-nucleotide ribosomal RNA is filed under the name uncultured bacterium. Its description in RNAcentral is "partial 16S ribosomal RNA". It matches the Rfam family "Bacterial small subunit ribosomal RNA", at positions 338 to 795 of the family's 1533-position model. The record is from RNAcentral.